Molecule: long non-coding RNA, 1831 nt
Organism: Cavia porcellus (domestic guinea pig)
Lineage: Eukaryota; Metazoa; Chordata; Mammalia; Rodentia; Caviidae
Exons: 2
Source: RefSeq, a predicted model, not a curated record
CGGAGGGACUCCUUUGCGGGGGGUGGGGCGCGGAGGGACUCCUUUGCAGGGUCAGGAAUUCGAGGAAGGAGACAGCACUGCGGUCCUUGGAAUGUGGCGGGAGUGGCGGCGGCGGCAGCGGAGCCGAGGUGUCCGCACUGCGCCGGGAGCCCGGAGGGGCGCGGAGGCUGCGCCGGGACGCUGGGGCGGGCAGGUUGGCGCUGCCCUUCCGUGGUGAAACGCGCAGCCGGGGUGCGGCUCGAAGCGCCAGGGGCUCAUCCUGGGCCCAGGCCUCCGGGAAGAUUGUGGAUUCCCGCGAGCUGAGCUGGAGGCGCUGCCCCUAUUCUGGCUGGAGAAAUACGAGCGGUAGAGAGUUGCUUCUCACAUCCUCCCCCAUCUUACUUAGCACUGCCUCGGUUUCAGGCACUGGGCUGAGCAAGUUCAGUGUUGUGCAGGCAGCGCACCGCUAGCACCGACCCUCUAGAACACUAUGUCUUGUAAAUGCGCCUUUAGGACCUAGCAUGAACUCACCACCUUCAGCCAGUGGGGAAGACGCCUAGAGCUGGGAACUAUGGUUGGUUGGAGACUGGUCCUCUGGCUGGGUUGCUGCACACAUAGCCUUUGAAGGCCAGACAAGGCUGGAGAUAGGCCUCAGGCUCAGGACCAGCAGGCAGUAGGCUCAGCUGUGCACACCCAAGGGCAGCCAACUUUGAAGUAUGAGGACACCUUGCUUUUCCAGGCUACCCUCUGAAUUUUGGGUGUGGCCUGAUGUACAUGCUCUCAAAAGCACUGAUGGUGCCUCGACCUGUAAAGCCACAGAGAGCACGUGGAUGAGCAUUCUUCAAAGGUACAAACUGCCAGGAUCCAGGAAAACAGUCUCAAGUGGAAAAGUUCCCUGUGUUCCAGGUACCUCAGAGAAUGCAAAGAAGGCGCCUCCAGUAUCUCAGGGUCAGGAAGCCUGCACAGGGAAUUGUGCUGGCCCAGACUGACCUGGCAAACUGGCCUCAACAUUGCUGAGGAGUCAGCUGUGGACCAAGUUACCACAGAACCGCCCAUGGCAGAACUGAUAGGAAACUGCUACGCAUAAGUUGCUAUUGUAGUUUAGAAGGCCAGUUUGGGACUGAGGAUACAGCUCAGCAACACAGCACCAGCCAGUCAAAUGAAAGUGGAAGAAGCAUAUCCUAACAGCAGUUGAGAUAAACAACAACAAUAACAUUAACAAAGAGUGUUUACAAUGUGCCAAGAAUUCUUCUGACCACUAUACAACAACUUAUUUUAUCAAGACAACAACUCUAUAAAGAAGAUUCACAUUGUGAUCUGUUUUCUACCAAGGUACAGAGAAAGGUAUGAAGAUAUAUGUAAUAGUAGAGGGUAAGACUGGGAUUCAAACCCACUUAGUAGGGCCUCAAAUUUUAUGCUCUGAAUAUUACACCAAAGAUAGUUCAGUGGACUGAGAACAGCCACACACCAGCCCUUCCAGUGCACAGGCUGGCAAACAAAAAGUACCAACCCCUCCACUGAAGCCACGGGCUUAUCCAGAGAAACACAGGCUAUGAUAGCUAUGGAGAUAAAGAGCAACUGGAUGCCUGUGGUGCUUUGGUGUUUCACUAACACUACAGGUCUAGGGUCAGUGGUCUGAUCAUAGGUUUAGAGGAUAAUGGUAUGCAGUAUAGCAUGGGGGGUGGGGGAGAGAUCUCCUUCUAAGGGAUGUAGCCACUGUUGACUUCCUAUGGUCUUGUUUUGAGUUCCUAUAUCAUUUCCGUUGUGUUGUUGGGUUGGAUUUUAUUCUCAUUUGUUUUGUUUGAGUAUGUUACAUACAAUGGCAGGAGAAGCUAUUUCAAGGAUGGCAAAA